RNAcentral lists this transfer RNA (73 nucleotides) under Empedobacter falsenii. RNAcentral describes it as "tRNA-Gly". It matches the Rfam family "tRNA". From Rfam's summary of the family: Transfer RNA (tRNA) molecules are approximately 80 nucleotides in length. Their secondary structure includes four short double-helical elements and three loops (D, anti-codon, and T loops). Lineage: Bacteria; Pseudomonadati; Bacteroidota; Flavobacteriia; Flavobacteriales; Weeksellaceae. The record is from RNAcentral. RNAcentral also lists the same sequence under 3 other names.
GCGAGAAUAGCUCAGUUGGUAGAGCGCAACCUUGCCAAGGUUGAGGUCGCGGGUUCGAGCCCCGUUUCCCGCU